GUUAAAAUAACCAAUUCAAGCAAAUCAUAAAAUUCUCUUAUUUAAAAGAACCACUUCCAAAUUUUCAUUCAAAUCAUUCGAGAUUACAUUUGUAUAUUUUGUUACCUUUUUUAAAAGAACCACUUCCAAAUUUUCGAACAAAUCAUAAAGUCUCUCUUUGGAAGGAGUUAAUAUGCUGCCUUAGUUAAAUCCCCAUUUUUUUUUGGAAAUCCGAAUGUAAUCAAGCGUAACAGACUGACCACAUACAUAAUCUGAUCCUAUUUUUUGAAAUCCGAAAAUCUUAUAGUAUAAUAUUAUGACCAGUGGCAUUUGUUUGUAAUUAUUCUAGUUGAUAAAUGACUUUUUUAAAAAGAAGGUGAGAGUGAAUGUGGUGAUGACACCUAAGAAAUGACACUCAUGUAAUAAACACAUGAAGUCAAUGUUAUUUUUUAUCAAUGCUCCUCAAUUAAUAAUAAAGGGAUAUACACAUAUUAUUUGAUAAAAUCAUAAAUGAUGACUUCAGUGGGGCUUUUAUUGUUCAUUGAAUAUGUUCCUUUUGUUACUCUCUGAUCAGCCUUUGCCAUUCUCACCUGAAAAUCAAGGAAACAAUGCCCAAACAUUGACACCUCUUGGAGACGAAGGCUUUUGCAACAAGGCGACUUCAAUCCAUCAGAUCAUCGUGAAUCUCUUUGAGUUUUCAAUUUUCAUGAGGAAAGUUCGUGGUGGUGGCAGUCAGGGUCGUAGUAUUCGCCUUCCUGUCCCUUGUUGUGGUGGUUCAAUUCGUUAGCUACUACUCAACCUUCUCUUUCGAUAGUGUCCCGUUCCACGGUCGUGCUCGUGAGCGAUCAUGAGUCUUGUUGAUGUUCUUCAUCUUCUAAUUAUUAUUUUUGGUCUUUUUAUUUUGUGAUAUGUAUUAAUUUGAUCAGUGCUGUCUUUGUUCUCAUUUUAUUGGUAAUAUAUAUUCAGUAUGCGUUUUAAGUGAAUAAUCAUUUUGAAAUAAUUUAUUUAAACAUAUGAUCUUAUAUUAUAUUCUCAAAUCUCAAUGCAGUGGCGAGGAGUUUUAGAGUGGUUAAUUGUUACGUGUUGUGCACUACAUCAGAUUAAUUAGGAUCGAAUGAUGACUUUCACCUAAUGCAUCAUUACUUAAUCACGCAUAGAAUAUAGAGAAAAUUACUUUAUGAGUUAUCAAUUACACAUGUACAUUAGAAAAUCUGUAACAUAGAUGUUGAAUUUGAAGAGAAUAAGAAAGCAAGAAUGAAUCAUACUUUAAACCAAUGUUGAACAAAUCAUACUUUAUAGUUAUACCAAACACAGACUAGAUUGUUCAUUGCUCAAAGAACAUAUUCCUCUCGUCAUUCAUUACCGGGCAAUAUAAAUUUCAAAUAAUCUGAGAACGCUAGUAGGACCCUCCUGUAGAGAAUAAGUAUAUAUAUGAUACAGUAUUUAUACUGAUUACAUAGAGUAUUCUAGGUAUAAUACAAUUACUAAAAGACCCUUAUAUACUUAUUCUCUACACCUCCAUGGGCCCAUGGCAUCAGGCAACCAUACAUGAAGAAAACAUAUGAAAAGUGAAAGAAGCAAGGUCAGGUGGGACUGUGAGAAUCAAAGUUUACCCGACAAUAACUGCUUUUGCUUUUUUAUCCAUAUCAAAUUAUCAAUCUUUGUUCUGUCUCUGAGUUGUAAUCUUCCACCUUAAGGUUAUGAUAUCUCUAUUUUUUUUUCUUUGUGUGGAUGUGUAUCCCUAUAUGUUCUAGUACUCAGUGAUUAACUCAAAGAUCAUCUCAAAAACAAUUUCAAUGAAGAGAUACUGUCGAGAUUUGUUGCUAAUCAUCACCAUCUUCUUCAUCACCUUUGCUUUUGCCGAAGAGCUUCAAUGUUGUUCAGACAAAACAACCGACUUGGUUCACAAAGAGAGACUAGUGAUCAGUGGCAAGAGAGCUCAUGGAAGCAUUUCACAAAUGAGCAGGGCAAGAGGUGUUUAUGGAGGUGGAUCUCUUAUCAGACCUAAAGGAAAAAAGAACAUAGCCAUGGCAUCCAUGACUAAAUCUGCUUCACUUGCAAUGCUUCAAGUAACAUUUGCAAUUCUGAUCCAUCUUUUCUUGUACUGAAAUGUAAAAAAUCUUUAAUAAAUAUUUUCUUGAUGAGCAAA
Brassica rapa (field mustard) is the source of this 2128-nucleotide long non-coding RNA. RefSeq lists it as uncharacterized. The record is from RefSeq and is a predicted model, not a curated record. Lineage: Eukaryota; Viridiplantae; Streptophyta; Magnoliopsida; Brassicales; Brassicaceae.